CGCCUCCCGCAAACAUCAACGUAUAGGAGGUCUUGCCUGCCCAGUGACUACAAGUUAAACGGCCGCGGUAUUUUGACCGUGCAAAGGUAGCGCAAUCACUUGUCUUUUAAAUGAAGACCUGUAUGAAUGGUGAAACGAGGGCUUAACUGUCUCCCCUCCCCAGUCAAUGAAAUUGAUCUGCCCGUGCAGAAGCGGGCAUAAAACUACAAGACGAGAAGACCCUUUGGAGCUUAAGAUAAAGACCAACUAUGUUAAAAGUCCAAAAAAAGACUAAACCCAAUAGCCCUGGUUCCUAUCUUCGGUUGGGGCGACCACGGGAGAAAACAAAGCUCCCAUGAGGACUAGGGAAAUCCCUAAAACUAAGAGAGACAUCUCUAAGGCACAGAAUAUCUGACCACACUGAUCCGGCUACAUGCCGACCAACGAACCAAGUUACCCUAGGGAUAACAGCGCAAUCCCCUUUCAGAGUCCAUAUCGACAAGGGGGUUUACGACCUCGAUGUUGGAUCAGGACAUCCUAAUGGUGCAGCCGCUAUUAAGGGUUCGUUUGUUCAACGAUUAAAGUCCU
Molecule: ribosomal RNA, 567 nt
Filed under: Lamontichthys stibaros
Lineage: Eukaryota; Metazoa; Chordata; Actinopteri; Siluriformes; Loricariidae
Description: partial 16S ribosomal RNA
Rfam family: Bacterial large subunit ribosomal RNA
Source: RNAcentral